UGGAGAUCGAAUGAAAACGUUAUCGUUAUUAACGGCACGGUUUCACGGGGGAAAAGAUAAACCAAGUGUUGUUAACAAUUUUACGAGACCCGGAUGGAUGAUAAAACCGAGGCCAGAGUCAUGCUCUGUUUCGCGGAGGAUACAUAGUACGCAGUGGCGGUUGUGCAGCAAACUUGGAUGACUAUUUAGAGAUGAUAAAACUGCAAUCCUUGUGGAUUCAUUUUUACUGUUCUGGAACGUGGAACUGGUUAUUUUGUUAGUUUCAAUCCAAUUCAUUUCUUUUUUAUUCGAUUAACU
Apis florea (little honeybee) is the source of this 297-nucleotide long non-coding RNA. The record is from RefSeq and is a predicted model, not a curated record. Lineage: Eukaryota; Metazoa; Arthropoda; Insecta; Hymenoptera; Apidae.